This 301-nucleotide ribosomal RNA is filed under the name uncultured bacterium. RNAcentral's name for it is "partial 16S ribosomal RNA". It matches the Rfam family "Bacterial small subunit ribosomal RNA", at positions 509 to 807 of the family's 1533-position model. The record is from RNAcentral.
CAGCAGCCACGGGAAUACGAAGGGGGCUAGCGUUGUUCGGAUUUACUGGGCGUAAAGCGCACGUAGGCGGACUUUUAAGUCAGGGGUGAAAUCCCGGGGCUCAACCCCGGAACUGCCUUUGAUACUGGAAGUCUUGAGUAUGGUAGAGGUAAGUGGAAUUCCGAGUGUAGAGGUGAAAUUCGUAGAUAUUCGGAGGAACACCAGUGGCGAAGGCGGCUCACUGGACCAUUACUGACGCUGAGGUGCGAAAGCGUGGGGAGCAAACAGGAUUAGAUACCCCUGUAGUCCCUGUCUCUUAUAC